RNAcentral lists this ribosomal RNA (279 nucleotides) under uncultured bacterium. RNAcentral describes it as "partial 16S ribosomal RNA". It matches the Rfam family "Bacterial small subunit ribosomal RNA", at positions 506 to 784 of the family's 1533-position model. The record is from RNAcentral.
UGCCAGCAGCCGCGGUAAUACGGAGGGGGUUAGCGUUAAUCGGAAUUACUGGGCGUAAAGCGCGCGUAGGCGGCUUGAUCAGUCGGAUGUGAAAGCCCCGGGCUUAACCUGGGAAUUGCAUUCGAUACUGUCUAGCUAGAGUAUGGGAGAGGGAAGUGGAAUUUCCGGUGUAGCGGUGAAAUGCGUAGAUAUCAGGAGGAACACCGAUGGCGAAGGCAGCUUUCUGGACAGAUACUGACGCUGAGGCGCGAAGGCGUGGGUAGCGAACGGGAUUAGAUA